RNAcentral lists this ribosomal RNA (186 nucleotides) under uncultured bacterium. Its description in RNAcentral is "partial 16S ribosomal RNA". It matches the Rfam family "Bacterial small subunit ribosomal RNA", at positions 338 to 522 of the family's 1533-position model. The record is from RNAcentral.
CCUACGGGAGGCAGCAGUAGGGAAUAUUGGUCAAUGGGCGAGAGCCUGAACCAGCCAUGCCGCGUGCAGGAUGAAGGCCUUAUGGGUUGUAAACUGCUUUUAUCAGGGAAGAAAAGACUUCUGCGGAAGAGAUUGACGGUACCUGACGAAUAAGCACCGGCUAACUACGUGCCAGCAGCCGCGGUA